Molecule: long non-coding RNA, 5233 nt
Organism: Acinonyx jubatus (cheetah)
Lineage: Eukaryota; Metazoa; Chordata; Mammalia; Carnivora; Felidae
Exons: 4
Source: RefSeq, a predicted model, not a curated record
CCAGACAGUCUGGCACCAGAGUCCCAGCUCUUCACCUUCACAGGGAGCGUCUCUGUAAUAAGGGUUCCCUUGGGCACCGGCAGGAACCACCGCCGGGAGUAGUUCUGAAGCAUACUCUGCCUUGCAAUUUACCUCCAUCGCCCAAAGCUCCAUUUCCUCAGGAGCAGGAGUCUGUCUUCAGCUGGACGACAGGAAAUUAAGGGAUUUUUAUCUUCUCCUCCGGCCACAGUGUGGGGGCGUGCUGAUUGUACAUCAGGGGAGAACAAUCAUUCCCCUGACCACUUUUGAUUCAUUCCAUCUCUGGUUUCCAUGGAGCAUCAUAAAAGGAUCUAUGUGUGCGUCAGGACAGCGGACGGACGGAAGCGGCCCGGGGCAAACAGGAGAGGAAGCUUCUGCCUCAUGCGUCUCCAUCCGAAACUAAGAGAUGGUGUAUGAAGACAUUUGGCAGGGGACCCAGAAUCACCUGAAUCCCACCUUGGCCUUCCGACCCCGGCUCUCCACAGUGCCCCAGGGGAGCACUCAACAGCAACUCUGAGGCAGAGACAGACAGAAGACUGGAUCUGUAGGCACAAGAUCCUUUCAGAAGCCAAUCCAGAAGGAAUCUCCCCACCCAAGACUCCACUAUGCUGCAAUGGAGAGAAGAAAGACAUUGAAGUCAGGCAGUUGGUGAUUCGGUAUCCUGGCUUUGCCAUUUCCUUCCUGUGUAACCUUGGGUGAGAUGCUUAACCUCUCUGAGCCUCAGGUUCCUCUUCUGUGAAAGAGAUAAAAAGUCCUCGUUUGUAGAACUCUGGGGACAACUACAGGAAAAAACAUAGGUAAAGAGGCCUAAUAUAUCUUAGGUCUUCUAAUCCCUAAAUUCUCUCCAAACAUUCAGGAUGGGAAUAGACCAAUAGAACACACGCAGAUGACAUAGGCCACAUUGUGGUCUCCAUUCCAGGAGAAUGCCAUCUGGUUGAGUUUCGGCUGCCUUAUGAUGACAAAAAGAAUUCAGGCCAUUGUUGUCUCCAACAGGACACAUACAGGAGAAGCACUGAGGAUGCUUUGAGAUUGUCUGAGGGUGGCUAGAUACAACCUAUUCUUAUUAAAGCUAUUUAUAGUGAGAAGCCUUUCAGGUCAGGCCUGCCUUUCCAGUCCACCUCAUUGGCAAGGUGAUGGGCUCUGGGCUCUGUUUGUUAUAUGUUGCUCGUGGUUUCUAUUGGUUCUGGCUUUGGUGGUUUGUUUCAUUUACACUAGAUGCCAAGGGGACCAUAUGGCCCAGUGAGCUAAGGAACAGCCUGGAUAUCCGGGGACUUUGUGCUGUCUGUGACACUUCAGAAAGUGACUCAGUUAGCCAGUGGUAACAGAAAAAAGAGAACCCGUGACUAUUUCAUCCAUUUGAGCACAGAGACAACUCUAGCCAUUUGAAUGCUUAACAUAUACACCAACCCCUUGAAAGCUAAAGUCUAAUUUGGGCUCCAUGAUUCUAGAGGUCGAGGAGCCAGGGAGGGGCUGGAGGGGGGUGACACCAGGCAACUACUGGCACUUACAAUGUUGUGCAUCCAAAAUAAAAUAGAUAGUUCCUAGAUGUUUUUAAUAUCCAGAUCUCAGAGUCAGGUCAGAGCUCAUAACAAUACAAUGACAACUGGAAUAAAACCGUAUGUGGACAGUGCCUUCCAAUGUACAGAACAUUUUUAUACAGCGUCGGGAAGUCGAUCCUUACCAUUUCUUGGGAGCACAGAAGUUAUCACACUUAUUUGUCUUGGUCAGAGAUCCUUUGGUGGCAUGGAAUAUUUACCCACUACAAGCUACCAAUUGCAUGUGUGAUAGUCAGACGGCAGCACUCUCUAAGUAACGCAGCCCUGCAUCAAAGUGGCAUUUUUCUCCCCAGUCUCGCCCGGAGCUAAAGCUGGGCAGUCGAUUCUUGCUGCCAAGUUUACAACAUGGUUGGGAUGGUGAGAGCUCUACGGAAUUCAUGUGAAAGGUAAUCCACAUUCUCCCUCGUGCAGCUGCUCUUAAAUUUACAAGGACAUGUCCCUACAUGGAGUCUCUGGAUAUUAUACUAAGAUUGUCACAUGUCAUGAACACAGUUCAACGCUGCAACUCAGCCGAUUGGAAAACCUGAUUCAAUUGCAAAUUUGUUUUUGGCAACUGCAUAGCGUCUUCCCAAAAUAUAUUAGAGUUGCCAUUGACAGAUGGUUUGAGAUGGGCCAAGGGAGGCUGUUGACAGAUAUCCUGAGAUGGAUCUUAUUACACUGACAUAUCUAAAGAAUACCCCACGGGAAAUGCCUUCACAGACCUGGAGGCUGGCGGAACAAGAUGGCAGCCCUUCAAGAGAAUUGCCAAUAAAAAGACUGAAAAUGGGCACAGCCUUCUGGAGGUAAUCUGGCAGUAUGUAUGGAAUCUUAAAACAUUUAUACCCCUUGACCCCGUAUUUGUCUCUUCAAGUUGAAAGUGCAGCUCAGACAUGCAUGCAAAGAUUUGUGUGUAGAGAUUUUCACUGCGGCAUUAACCAUAGAAUAAUGAAGAGCUGCAAAUCACCUGAAGUCCCACAACGGGGGGGCAGUUUGAACACACCAGUUAUAUUUAUAUCCGUGCUUACUGUGAUAAAAAAGAAGGCAGGUAAAGAGCUGUCUGUGGAGGGUGAUCUAAAUUUUGCAAAAGGAAAAAAAGGACUGGAAUUUUUUUUUCUUUUUAUUUAUCAAUAAUCACUUUAUUAUUUUUUAAGCAUAUGGCACUUUUUUCUUUUGAAGUUUUUAUUUAAUAUUCUAGUUAGGUAACAUACGGUGAAAUGUUGGUCUCAGGAGUAGAAUUCAGUGAUUCAUCACUUACAUACAACACUGAGGGCUUAUCACAAGUGCCCUCCUUUAUACCCAUCACCCAUCUUGCCCACCCCCCACCCACCUCCCUCCUUCAACCCUCAGUUUCUUCUCUGUACUUAAGAGUCUGUUACCUGGUUUGUCUCUCUUUUUCUCCCUCCCAUAUGGUCAUAUGUUUUUGUUUCUUAAAUUCCACAUAUGAGUGAAAUCAUAGGAUAUUUGUCUUUCUCUCACUGACUUAUUUUGCUUGGCAUCAUACUAACUCCAUCCAUGUUGUUGCAAAUGGCAAGAUUUUGUUCUUUUUGAUGGCUGAGUAAUAUUCCAGUGUGUGUGUGUGUGUGUGUGUGUGUGUGUGUGUGUGUGUGGCAUCCAGUGAGUAAAGGCCAUAUAUAUAUAUAUAUAUAUAUAUAUGCCACAUCUUCUUUAUCAUUUCAAUAGUCAAUGGACAUUUGGGCUCUCUCCAUAGUUUGGAUAUUGUUAGUAAUGCUGCUAUAAACGUGGGGGUGUAUGUCAGAGUGGCUAAAAUUAACAACACAAGAAACAACAGGUGUUGGCAAGGAUGUGGAAAAAGGGGAACCCUCUUGCACUGUUGUUGGGAAUGAAAAAACAUUUUCUAAAUGUUAAUAGUGAGGAUCUGUCAGUGGUGAUAUAAUGAGUAAAUUUUUAUCAUUUCACUUUUUCUGUACUUUUAGUGAAUAUGCCACUUGAAAAGGUCAGAAAAAUAUGUGCUCUUUUAAAUUUAUAUAAACAAUAAUUUAUAAAAAAUUUGGGGUAAGAAAAAAGUCAGCAGUAACCAAUACAACUAUUUAAAUUUAAUAUCCUAGGCUUUGUCCUGUUAUACAUGCAAAUUUUUUAUAUAGUCAGAGAGUACCUAUAUCUUUGUACUCUAUUUUUUAUAAUCUAAGUAAGAAUAACACUUAAGAAGUCUUGGGGCGCCUGGGUGGCGUAGUCGGUUAAGCGUCCGACUUCAGCCAGGUCAUGAUCUCGCGGUCCAGGAGUUCGAGCCCCGCGUCAGGCUCUGGGCUGAUGGCUCAGAGCCUGGAGCCUGUUUCCGAUUCUGUGUCUCCCUCUCUCUCUGCCCCUCCCCCGUUCAUGCUCUGUCUCUCUCUGUCCCAAAAAUAAAUAAAAACGUUGAAAAAGGAAAAAAAAAAAAGUCUAAUGAACCUGGAAAAUUCUGUGUAUAUAUGUGUGUGUGUAUGUGUGAGAGAGAGAGAGAGAGAACCCAUACACAUAUUAAUUGUUUGAAAAAUGAUAAUCAACAUGCAUGGGAUAACUCUCUUAAUCAGAAAAUCUGCUUAUUCAAAAAAAUUUAACUUCGACCUCAUUCUAUAGUGAAAGUAAUUCUCUGUAGGCUUAAAAUCAGGAAAAUACAACUAAACCCCUGAAUUUCACCCGUUCAGCAGAUUUUUGAAAUCUACUAAAAACUCUUCAAGAACAUAAAAUGUAAACAUGAUCCAAUCCACUGGAGAGAGAGAAUAAUGGAUUUGAAAAACCAAUAGAUGAAAAAUCUAUUAAGCGUUAGGAAGCAGUAACAGUGGUAAAAUUAUUUGUGAGACAGAUGCACACAUGAAAUCGAGGGUGACGGCACAACACGAGUCUGUGGCUGUGGCAGUGACUGGAUGUCCAUAAUGGCAACAGCCACAAGGGAAAUUUAGGAAAGUAUGAAAAUUCAGUAUUUAGAAUCAAAAUCAGGCUUGAUGCAGAAAACAAAUCUACCGUCUUCCAAAAACAAUGCAGAACCUGCGGUUGUAUUUUACCAAGGCCUGCCUCACACAAUUCAAGUCAAAAUAUUACUUUCAUCAGAGAAUUAUUUUUGUUCUUCCAUGAAAGAGCACAGGAAAUAUGUUAUGAAAUUGCUUGCCAAGGUCAAAAAAAUCUCAUAAUCUUGACGAGAGGCGGUGGAGGGGGGGAGAAAGAAUACUCGUGCCUUCGUCUAGACCAGUAGUUCUCAACUGGGGGCAAUUUGGUCCCUUAGGGAAUAUCUGGCAAUGACUGGAGACAGUUUUGGUUGUCACAGCUGGAUGGGGGGGAGGGGGGCGGUGCUGGGAGAAUGCCAUUGGCAUCCAGUGAGUAAAGGCCAGAAACGCUCCUGACCCUCUUCCGGCGCUCAGGGCAGCCCCUCCAACAAAGUAUUGGCCCCCAAAAUGUCAGUCGUACCAAGGCUGAGGAACCGUGGUCUGGACAGUGACAAAUGAUUGGGAAGAAAUGGCCAAAUGUAAGGUCUCUGCCCUCUGUCCUCUACCUGGGGGAGGAGGCGGGGGGGGGAAGGUGGUGUGCUAGGGAGGGGCCCCCUUCUCCUCCAAGUCCACCUGCGGCUGGCCUGCGGCCAGGGAGAGAAGGAUGUCCCCCACUCCUGAGGGCUGAGGCCCCAGUUGCAUCUUACAUUAGAUGAGAAAAUUUAAAUACAGUAAAAUCUUGAUUUGACUGGAAUUUAUACA